Nicotiana tabacum (common tobacco) is the source of this 984-nucleotide non-coding RNA. The record is from RefSeq and is a predicted model, not a curated record. Lineage: Eukaryota; Viridiplantae; Streptophyta; Magnoliopsida; Solanales; Solanaceae.
UCGAAACUAAAUUUGACACCUGCAUUUGGACCGAAGGAGCAGUUUUAUAAAUACACAGUUCUAUAACUGGAGUAGUUUCUGUUUCUGGUACCUGCCACUAUCCGCAACCAAAUUAUCUUUUAAGUAUACCAUAAAGUGUGAGAAAUUUCCAUGCAUUUAUGGUGAGUAAUUAACAUUUAGCUGAAAUGUAUGGUCUAGUUAAGUUGUGCGGAUCUCAUACCAAGUUUUUCUUUGAAGCUAAUGUUCUGUUGUUUGGCUAUUCUGCAUAUUGAAGUUCUGGUUUUUGUCUUGUAGAUUGUUCCCACUGAAUACAGGUAUUUAUCAAAAGAAGUUUUGCCAACUAAUCAGUUCUCUGUAACAGAAUACUUUUCUCCCAUCAAUGAGUUUGAUCGGACAUGGCCAGCUGUAUAUUUCUUAUAUGAUUUGUCACCAAUCACUGUGACCAUCAGAGAAGAACGUCGCAGUUUUCUACACUUUAUUACUCGGCUCUGUGCAGUUCUGGGUGGUACAUUUGCCUUGACAGGCAUGCUAGAUAAAUGGAUGUACAGGUUCCUUGAAGCAGUUAUGAAGAAAAACAGCAGAAGUCUUGUGCGAUAAUUGAACGUUACCUGGUGACAUGUUGCACCUACAAAGUAAUAUUCAGCUGAGGAAAUCCCAAAUUCCCAGAGCACUAUACGUGGAAGCUUUUAGCGAACAAGGGAGAUCGAUAAAUAAGGCUUGUGUAUAAUUUAUUCCCCGUGUAUUUUGUUUUUCUAACUUUCUUUUUAUCCUUUAAUUUUGAUAGCACUUUACACAAAUAUACCAUGGUGUAUCCAAGCCAUUCUAGCUGUCUGAGAAAAGAUUUACUUACUGGUCAUUUUAACAUAAUGUAGUUUGUAGUUCAAAGGAAAUGAACAUUUCCAGGUUUUCUUGCUCAAUUUUAGUUGAAAAACUUGCUGUAACUGAGAGAGAUGGACUUCUAUGUGAUGCUUCUUUAUUAUGUAA